Macaca mulatta (Rhesus monkey) is the source of this 1491-nucleotide non-coding RNA. The record is from RefSeq and is a predicted model, not a curated record. NCBI's taxonomy places the organism in Eukaryota, Metazoa, Chordata, Mammalia, Primates, Cercopithecidae.
CCAGGGUACAGAUGUGUGCUACAACACCAGCGAACCUCGAAAACAUUAUGGUCAAUGAAAGAAGCCAAUCAAAAAAGGCCACAUGCCAUAGGAUGCUGUGAACAUACAACAUGAAAUAUCAGAACAGGCAAAUCCAUGUGACGAAAAGCAGAUCAGUGGUCACUGGGGGCUGAGGAAAGGAGGUCAUGUGGCUGCUGAAGGGACUGGUGCUUCAUCUUGAGAUGAAACGUCUUGGAAUAAGAGUGUGGCACAAUUCUGUGAAGACACUAAAAACCACUGGAUUAUACACAUUAAAUGGAAGACAGACAGAUGGACCAGACGGAAUACACGAGUAGGAGACAGGAGGAGUACUUUCCCCUUCCCACGCACAGUCCCCGACGCGUCAGCCCUGGCCAACCAGCAGACCGUGCCAUUACUCUGUGCUUACAGCUUUCAAGAUCCUGCAUUUUUUACAAACUGAAGGUCUGUAGUGACCCUCCAUCGAGCAAGUCUAUCAGUGCCAUUUUCCCAACAGCAUGUGCAUGCUUUGUGUCUUUGUGUCAGCAUUGUUUAGCAACGAAGGAUUUUAAAUCAUGUUGUCUGGAACCCAAUCUGCAAUAUUUCCGAAGCAUGCCUGUAUAGUGGAUCUAAAAUGGCCAAUAUCCCGUGAAUGCGAACGACCACUCACCAACUGUCAUCACUGAGCCUGGGCCACAUUUGUAAACAGUGAUGCUGGCUUUCCAAUUCCUCUCUGAUAAGUCCCCUCUUUGACACUGCUUUGGGUUCUUCUUGCACUGAUGUUGUUGAAAUGCAACUGUGAUUCUAAAUUUCAAAUGCGUCUCUAACAGGUUUUAGCUCAUCAUUACUUCUAGCUCUUUCUCCCAUAUUUUCAUUGUCAAAACACAGUCUCUUUGAAAACUUUGAUGGCUUACAAUUUUGUUGAAGAUAGUCAUCUUCAAUGUUCCAAAAUCAGAGAGGAUUUUCAUUUUUAGAUUUUAAGACAUCAAUUACAAUGACCAAGCCAAUGGCUAUUUUCAUUUCUAUCUCUAUUUCCUUCCAAUCAUCUCCUGAUUGCUUUUAGCAAUUAUCCAUUUACUAAGUAUCAAGGUGGGUCAUAAACAUCUUAAAAGAUGAAAGACUACUGUCACAUAUCUGUUUAACAAAAGGGGAUGGUCCACAUUCUUGUCAUAAAAUAUUAUGUGAUAAAGCCCAUCCUGUUGAAUGACUAAUUGAAUGAGAAACCAUAUUCCCCCUUCAUAUUCUUAGAAUACUAUUCACUCGUUGAUGCCUGAUUUUAAGAAAAUUCAUCUAAGCUAUCUUCCACUGAAGGCGCACAGUCUGCAAAUUUGCUGAUAUGAUCAAUUUCACCAUCAUCAUUAGCAUCUAGAGAGCUGCUCUCAAUCUGUCUGCAUUCAUCUUCUGAUUCAUUUAAUAAUGGUGAAAUGUCUUCCUCUGCCAAUUUUCCUCUCAUUGCUAUUACAAGUGAAAAAUAAAAAACUCUAAAUUCUCUGU